AGUCGAACGGUAACAGGUCUUCGGACGCUGACGAGUGGCGAACGGGUGAGUAAUACAUCGGAACGUGCCCAGUCGUGGGGGAUAACUACUCGAAAGAGUAGCUAAUACCGCAUACGAUCUGAGGAUGAAAGCGGGGGACCUUCGGGCCUCGCGCGAUUGGAGCGGCCGAUGGCAGAUUAGGUAGUUGGUGGGAUAAAAGCUUACCAAGCCGACGAUCUGUAGCUGGUCUGAGAGGACGACCAGCCACACUGGGACUGAGACACGGCCCAGACUCCUACGGGAGGCAGCAGUGGGGAAUUUUGGACAAUGGGCGAAAGCCUGAUCCAGCAAUGCCGCGUGCAGGAUGAAGGCCUUCGGGUUGUAAACUGCUUUUGUACGGAACGAAAAAGCUCCUUCUAAUACAGGGGGCCCAUGACGGUACCGUAAGAAUAAGCACCGGCUAACUACGUGCCAGCAGCCGCGGUAAUACGUAGGGUGCGAGCGUUAAUCGGAAUUACUGGGCGUAAAGCGUGCGCAGGCGGUUAUGUAAGACAGAUGUGAAAUCCCCGGGCUCAACCUGGGAACUGCAUUUGUGACUGCAUGGCUAGAGUACGGUAGAGGGGAUGGAAUUCGCGUGUAGCA
RNAcentral lists this ribosomal RNA (621 nucleotides) under uncultured Delftia sp. Its description in RNAcentral is "bacterial SSU rRNA". It matches the Rfam family "Bacterial small subunit ribosomal RNA", at positions 60 to 680 of the family's 1533-position model. The record is from RNAcentral. Lineage: Bacteria; Pseudomonadati; Pseudomonadota; Betaproteobacteria; Burkholderiales; Comamonadaceae.